UACGUAGGGUGCAAGCGUUGUCCGGAAUUAUUGGGCGUAAAGAGCUCGUAGGCGGUCUGUCGCGUCUGCUGUGAAAACUCAGGGCUUAACCCUGAGCUUGCAGUGGGUACGGGCAGACUAGAGUGCGGUAGGGGAGACUGGAAUUCCUGGUGUAGCGGUGAAAUGCGCAGAUAUCGGGAGGAACACCGGCGGCGAAGGCGGCGUCCUGGACCUGGCCUGACGCUCAGGAGCGAAAGCGUGGGGAGCGAUCCGG
This 253-nucleotide ribosomal RNA is filed under the name uncultured bacterium. RNAcentral's name for it is "partial 16S ribosomal RNA". It matches the Rfam family "Bacterial small subunit ribosomal RNA", at positions 524 to 776 of the family's 1533-position model. The record is from RNAcentral.